This 459-nucleotide ribosomal RNA is filed under the name uncultured Gammaproteobacteria bacterium. RNAcentral describes it as "bacterial SSU rRNA". It matches the Rfam family "Bacterial small subunit ribosomal RNA", at positions 1064 to 1532 of the family's 1533-position model. Lineage: Bacteria; Pseudomonadati; Pseudomonadota; Gammaproteobacteria. The record is from RNAcentral.
UGAGAGUGGGUAGUCCGCACGAGCGCACCUUGAUCCUUAGUUACCAGCGGUUUGGCCGGGAACUCUAAGGAUACUGCCAGUGACAAACUGGAGGAAGGCGGGGACGACGUCAAGUCAUCACGGCCCUUACGACCAGGGGCUACACACGUGCUACAAUGGUAGGUACAGAGGGCAGCUACACAGCGAUGUGAUGCGAAUCUCAAAAAGCCUAUCGUAGUCCGGAUUGGAGUCUGCAACUCGACUCCAUGAAGUAGGAAUCGCUAGUAAUCGCGGAUCAGAAUGCCGCGGUGAAUACGUUCCCGGGCCUUGUACACACCGCCCGUCACACCAUGGGAGUUGAUUGCACCAGAAGUGGGUAGCCUAACCUUUUAGGAUGGCGCUCACCACGGUGUGGUUGAUGACUGGGGUGAAGUCGUAACAAGGUAGCCGUAGGGGAACCUGCGGCUGGAUCACCUCCUU